CCAGACAGCCAUUUUGCUUUCUUGCAUUUCUUUUCCAUGGGGAUGGUCUUGAUCCCCAUGGAAUCAAGGUUUAUUUAGGAAGCAGUAAAUAUCUUAGUGCAUCAAAAGCAGAAUGAGGGCAGUGGGUGGUAGAAAUAUUGGCAAAAAAUUAUAUUUGAGACAGAUUAAGGAGGACCUUGAAGAUCAUGUGGAGUCAGAUACAUAAAAAAUAAGGGACUGAUUAAACUAGAUUUGUAUUUAGUAAUAAUCUACUGAUUAUUAUCAAAAGGAAUUGCUUUGGGUGAGACUGAAGGCAGAGCGGCCAGGCAGGGAGAAUAGUUUCUACAAGCACAGCAUCUCUACGAGGCAGAUUUUCCAAGGCAGCUCAGAUCUCAAAUAGACCUUUUAUUUGUCUCCCUGUGUGCUUGUCACAUGCCCUGAUUUCAGCUUCAGAAAAUAAAAUCCUGAAUCACAGAUGAUGUGAUUGCUAAUCUUGUAGAUAGGUGCUGAUGGAUCUGUUGCCCAGGCAAUUUGUGCCACUAAUAAAGACCACCUGGAGAAGACGCCCUCGUGCAAAAAGAGGGUGGAGUGUGAAGCAUGGUACAGGCUACUGGGGGAGGUAAAUUCUGGCUUUUGGUGUCCUUCAAACUCAUGGUGCUGAUUGUCACAUAUUUCAAAAACAGUUAAGGCCUCCUUUCUCUGUAGGGAUCAGGCUGUUUUACUCUCAGCUAGCCCCACCCUUCAUGCUGCUGCUUAUACCUCCCUCAGGUGCUUUAUUUUCUGCCUCUUGCUUUAAUUAUGUCUGUGUGAAUCUCUUGAUCUUUUCCACUAGAUGAGAGAGCUCUCUGGGGGCUUGCUGAAAUUGCAGUUCAUGUUGUAUAUCAUCAUUUCUCAUCCAUCAAUUUUUGUGGAAUUAUAGAAUCUUGGGCUGUAAAGGACAAUAAAAACAACCCAUUCUAAGGAUGCCCUUAGACAUCACAGACCAUGUCUGGAUGAUUUGGAUGGGAAGAUGAGUGGAUAGUUAAGUAGAAAGCACAUGGGCAUUUGCUGUAACCCUGACAUCUUCGGGGAUGAUCAUCUUCCUUUCUUCGAACGGAUGGCACACUGUUAGGUGAUUGUGGGAACCGAGGCCCUCCUGUACCUCUACCCGCGUCUGUGUUGAUGGAGGAGAUAUGCUCAAGGGCUCCAAGGCAGACGUGGAAGGAAGUGAAUAAGGAUGAAGCACACAGCACAGCCAAGCCUUUAUGUAAAAUGUUAUCUCACUUCCUGGUUGAAAGCAGAG
This is a long non-coding RNA of Bubalus bubalis (water buffalo), 1261 nucleotides long. RefSeq lists it as uncharacterized. The transcript has 3 exons. The record is from RefSeq and is a predicted model, not a curated record. NCBI's taxonomy places the organism in Eukaryota, Metazoa, Chordata, Mammalia, Artiodactyla, Bovidae.